CAGAAUAAGGGAGAACAGAAAGAAUCAAAAGGCAAAAGUGAGUUCAUAAAGUAGAUGCAGCGCCUAAAAAGGAAAAAUAUAAAGAAUGAGAAAAUGCUGACGAAAGAAACUAUGUAACAAAAAGGCAAGCAUGUGUGCCACUGAAAUCCUGAUGGUACCUUGUCUCACUCAACAUGUAAAAUUAACAUCAGAACACCACUGUGGUUUGCCCUGUAAAUUUGCAGGAAAUAAACUGGCAAUGGGCUCUACAACAGUAUAGCUACAAAAUGUUCAUCUAUAAUGUUCUUACUAUAGUAUAUACUGUCCAUGCAGCUUAAACACUGCAGGGGCUAUUGACAAGAUAGUACAGAUAUUACCGCAAACGUGAGACAAUUUUAAAGAUUACAAAUCUCACAGCAGUCCAAAUAAAAGAAAACAAAAUAAAAAUGAAACAACCACAUCUAGAAUAAUAUCUCAUAAAGAUACAAAGAAACUAGAAGUAUUGUUAUUUCCAUUAUAAUGCUUUCUCAAAAGUACUAUGGACAUUUUACAUUUACAUGCAGAAUUGACAAAAGACCUGUUCUCAUUCUUAGAAUCCAUAUUGGAUAGCACAGUAGAAUUGGGGAUUGGAAACAUCUCGCUCUUCGUAAUUGCAUAAACCGCAUGACCGCAUAUCAUUCCGACUUUCCUUCUUUUUGUAAUAAGCACCAUGUAAUAAGGUCCCAAAAACUUUACAAAACCUAAAAUCCACCAAAAACAAAGAGUUGCAUUACAAAUAAAAAAAUCCAUUCAGAAAGAGAAUGAAACUUUAGUGGUAUAACAUACCAACAAUUCCGUAGCAGGUCGGGAAACAUCUCGCUCUUCGUAAUGGCAUAAACUGCAUGACCGCAUAUCAUUCCGACUUUCCUUCUUUUUGUAAUAAGCACCAUGUAAUAAGGUCCCAAAAAUUUUA
RNAcentral lists this long non-coding RNA (931 nucleotides) under Nicotiana benthamiana. RNAcentral's name for it is "long non-coding RNA (NBEN_LNC027547)". Lineage: Eukaryota; Viridiplantae; Streptophyta; Magnoliopsida; Solanales; Solanaceae. The record is from RNAcentral.